RNAcentral lists this ribosomal RNA (460 nucleotides) under uncultured bacterium. RNAcentral's name for it is "partial 16S ribosomal RNA". It matches the Rfam family "Bacterial small subunit ribosomal RNA", at positions 338 to 795 of the family's 1533-position model. The record is from RNAcentral.
CCUACGGGUGGCAGCAGUGAGGAAUAUUUGUCAAUGGGCGUAAGCCUGAACCAGCCAAGUCGCGUGAGGGAUGAAGGUUCUAUGGAUCGUAAACCUCUUUUAUAAGGGAAUAAAGUGUGGGACGUGUCCUAUUUUGUAUGUACCUUAUGAAUAAGGAUCGGCUAACUCCGUGCCAGCAGCCGCGGUAAUACGGAGAAUCCGAGCGUUAUCCGGAUUUAUUGGGUUUAAAGGGUGCGUAGGAGGCCGUUUAAGUCAGCGGUGAAAGUCUGUGGCUCAACCAUAGAAUUGCCGUUGCAACUGGGGGGCUUGAGUAUGUUUGAGGAAGGCGGAAUGCGUGGUGUAGCGGGGAAAUGCUUAGAUAUCACGCAGAACCCCGAUUGCGAAGGCAGCCUGCCAAGCCAUGACUGACGCUGAUGCACGAAAGCGUGGGGAUCAAACAGGAUUAGAGACCCUAGUAGUC